Non-coding RNA from Peromyscus maniculatus bairdii (prairie deer mouse), 2916 nucleotides. NCBI's taxonomy places the organism in Eukaryota, Metazoa, Chordata, Mammalia, Rodentia, Cricetidae. The record is from RefSeq and is a predicted model, not a curated record.
GGGCGUAAGUGCGAGGAACUUUCGAGACGUCCAGGUCUCGGGGAGUCACGUGUCCUCUGAGCUAACCGCUUGCAGCGCCUGAGGUGAAAGGCUCGGGGGUGACUUAGCGGGAAUUGUCUCCCCUCAACCCGUGCCUCCCCGGCUGACGCCAUGAGCUCCCCCGAUGAGGUGGCAGCCCCUGGAGUCCGUGGUGACAAGGACGCCGCCUCUACCGGUGACAUGAAUUCCCGGGAUCAGGGGUCUGCUCCUGAAGCUCACUUGGGCCAGGAGGGCAGGGAGCACUUAGGGGACCCCCUGAUCAGCCCUAGAGUACCGAGGGGUUCAAGCCUCAUCCAAGGUCCUCGGGAGAUUGGAGAGGGUGAGGGCGGCCGCCCAGGUAUGGAAGGCUGCGAGGUGGAAUCGGGGCGGAAAUUGGAAGCGACACAGGAAGGAGAAGGGGUGCUUAGGGACCCGGAAGGCCGGCCCAGUUCUCCCGUGGACCAAGAAGAGGUCGGUCUGGACUUUCUGCCCCAGCUCAGUAUUGAGGCUAAGGCAAUGAUGCGCGAGCUGACCAACCUGCAGACCCGAAAAGUCUGCAGGUACCAGUCCCCACAAACCUGUGCCGCUGAACUGGCUGCCCUUUGGGGAUGCAUGGAUGAAGGCUCCAACAGAGGGGCCCUGUCCCUGAGCUCUGUAGAAGGGAAGCAGACCUCUGCAGGCUCCCUGUACCCCCGGGGCCUGGGACGAGGCAGAGCCUGGGUGACCCCGCGGAGAGGAACCACAAGUAGGAUAGUGAGCAGUGAAGCUGUCCAGUGUCCCUCCUACAACCCUACGUCUUCUGAUGAGUCCAAUGAGACAAGGGUGAUGAGGGUGACCAUUUGCCUCAAAGAAGGAGGCCAGGCCAAGUCCACUGGCAGCACCGAGCGGGAAGACACAGGCAAACACGCGAGUGUCCAUGGCAGGGGAAGUUUCGUCCAUGUGCCCCACUCUGUACUGUCCAGUGCGAACCGGACACUCAGCUCAGGCGGGGAGAAGCAGGCUUUGGGUGAGCUGGAGGGCUCUCUGUCUAAGAAAAAGCCAAGUGUUGUCUGGGGCACCGAAGGGAGCAGACCCAGCUUCCCAGGAGCGACUUCUGCUGCCCCAGCUGCUGGAGCGGCAGCCUCUGCUGCUGUCCCCGCACCUACUCCUGCUGCUUCAGGGGCCUUGCCCAAGACCAGUCCUAGAAAGAAGGCACCCCAGGAGAAGAAGCCCUUGACAGAUGUCUCAAGAGGAUCCCUGGGAGGAACCUUCCCACCAUGGGGACAGAGACUUAAGUCAGCUCCUGUAAGGUCAGCCACCCUUCCCCCAAUCUCCGGGGUUGCCCUGCUUGGGAAGGCCACUAAACGCCCAAUGAUUUCCGGGCCAAAAGAGUGCAAGCCUUUCUGCACUGGGAAGAGAUCCAUGGCAAGGAAGACAAAGGAAUCCCAGCCAGGGGCCAAAGAAGAUAAUGACCCAACCAGAGAUCCUGGCCUGCAGGCCCAACUUCCAACACACAGGGCAGAGCAGCCUUGCACGUGCACGCAUCGUGGAGAAAUGAGCAGUGGAGACCCCAACACCAGAGCACCCCAAGUUGCAGGGAACUCUCAGUUCUUGUCCUUGAGCCAGAGAAGUGCCAGACCCAGAGCACCUGCACCGGCUGGUGACCAGGAUAUACUUGUGUGUCCUUUAUUACCUGCUGAAGAGGGUGAACCAGUAUUACAAGGCACACCAGGCUGUCCUCAGUGUCUGAUGCUACGGAAGGAAAUAGAGGAACUCAAGGAACAACUAGGUAUGACCGAGCCAGGGCAGGGGAUCGAUGGGAACAGGGCCAGAGGGAGAGCCUAGUGUUUGUGUGCAGGUGACUGGGGUGGGCUGAGGGGCGGUUCUCAGUGGGAAGGGACCUCAAGCAGGCCAGGCUGGGAGCCCUCUGUGCAUUGAGUGCGGGGACUUGCACCAAGAAGCAAUGCUGUCCCGUGCGCUGUGCAGAUGAGUCCCCCAGGUUCCCUUCUCUCUGGGCAUUGACACGGUCAGUCCUCCUUUAGUUUCCCUUGGAGUGCCGCAGUUGCGACUUGUGAGGUGUUUGUUGUUACGUGUCUGUUCGUUUUACAAGUAGGGCUUGCACUGCUGUGGUCCAGCGUUUGAGGACUGCCUGUCCGUGCUGUUCUCCUGUAGAAACGUUUGCACAUAGAGCUCAGGGAUGGGGGGAGGAGUCUGUCCCGAGGCUCCUUGCACAGGGGCUGGAGGGCAGUGGGCAGCUGGCCUGGAGUUCUGUGGCACAGAGAAUAGGGCUCCGGCCGGUGGGGUCCUGGAUGUCUGUGUCUGGAGACCCAUUGGUACCUCUUGUGUUUCAGCCAUCAUGCAGGCCCUCAACGAAAAGUUCCAGGAUCUUUGAAAUGAUGCUCUGCUGUCCACAGGCCCUUUGAAGUUGGACCCGGCAUCCCUGCAGAAGAGGCCAGGCUACUCCCCAUGGAUCCUGCUCCCUUCCCGGCACUCUACAGCACUGGUUCUCAACCUUCCUGAUGCUGCCCCCUUUUAUACCAUUCCUCUUGUUGAUGUGACCCCCAGAAUAAGAUUAUCUCACUGUUACUGUCCUGCCUGUAAAUUAGCGACUGUUAGGAAUUUUAAUGUAACUCUCCCACAAGCUGAGAACCUGUGCUCUCCAGCCAGAGCCCACUUUGUGCCCCGACUUUGCCCCUCGCCUACCCCUGGGGACAGCUGUCGCCCACUAAGUAGUUUUGUCCUGUGUAUGGUCCGCCCUUUCUCUUUUGGUGGGGGAUGAGGUAUAGCAACAGGGUGGUGGAAACUGUUCCUUUCCCACCCUUCAAAGAACACUAGCCCUCCUGUACACUCUGUCUCCCCCACACAGCUCCCAUGCAUGAGGUUUCCAAAAUCUAAAUAAAGUAUUUUGUGGGAAAAAGG